Molecule: ribosomal RNA, 523 nt
Filed under: uncultured Paracoccaceae bacterium
Lineage: Bacteria; Pseudomonadati; Pseudomonadota; Alphaproteobacteria; Rhodobacterales; Paracoccaceae
Description: bacterial SSU rRNA
Rfam family: Bacterial small subunit ribosomal RNA
Source: RNAcentral
UGGGGAAUCUUGGACAAUGGGCGCAAGCCUGAUCCAGCCAUGCCGCGUGAGUGAUGAAGGCCUUAGGGUCGUAAAGCUCUUUCGCCAGGGAUGAUAAUGACAGUACCUGGUAAAGAAACCCCGGCUAACUCCGUGCCAGCAGCCGCGGUAAUACGGAGGGGGUUAGCGUUGUUCGGAAUUACUGGGCGUAAAGCGCGCGUAGGCGGACUGGAAAGUUGGGGGUGAAAUCCCAGGGCUCAACCCUGGAACUGCCUCCAAAACUAUCAGUCUAGAGUUCGAGAGAGGUGAGUGGAGUUCCGAGUGUAGAGGUGAAAUUCGUAGAUAUUCGGAGGAACACCAGUGGCGAAGGCGGCUCACUGGCUCGAUACUGACGCUGAGGUGCGAAAGUGUGGGGAGCAAACAGGAUUAGAUACCCUGGUAGUCCACACCGUAAACGAUGAAUGCCAGUCGUCGGGUAGCAUGCUAUUCGGUGACACACCUAACGGAUUAAGCAUUCCGCCUGGGGAGUACGGUCGCAAGAUUA